RNAcentral lists this ribosomal RNA (561 nucleotides) under uncultured bacterium. RNAcentral's name for it is "bacterial SSU rRNA". It matches the Rfam family "Bacterial small subunit ribosomal RNA", at positions 339 to 916 of the family's 1533-position model. The record is from RNAcentral.
CCACGGGAGGCAGCAGUGGGGAAUAUUGCACAAUGGGCGAAAGCCUGAUGCAGCAACGCCGCGUGAGUGAUGAAGGCCUUCGGGUCGUAAAGCUCUUUGAUCAGGGAUGAUAAUGACAGUACCUGAAAAACAAGCCACGGCUAACUACGUGCCAGCAGCCGCGGUAAUACGUAGGUGGCGAGCGUUGUCCGGAAUUACUGGGCGUAAAGGAUGCGUAGGUGGAUAUUUAAGUGGGAUGUGAAAUCCCCGGGCUCAACCCGGGAACUGCAUUCCAAACUGGAUAUCUAGAGUGCAGGAGAGGAAAGCGGAAUUCCUAGUGUAGCGGUGAAAUGCGUAGAUAUUAGGAGGAACACCAGUGGCGAAGGCGGCUUUCUGGACUGUAACUGACACUGAGGCAUGAAAGCGUGGGUAGCAAACAGGAUUAGAUACCCUGGUAGUCCACGCCGUAAACGAUGGGUACUAGGUGUAGGAGGUAUCGACCCCUUCUGUGCCGUCGUUAACACAAUAAGUACCCCGCCUGGGGAGUACGGUCGCAAGACUAAAACUCAAAUGAAUUGACGG